GUGUCAGCCGCCGCGGUAAUACGGGGGGGGCAAGCGUUGUCCGGAAUUAUUGGGUGUAAAGGGUGCGUAGGCGGAAUGGUAAGUCAGAAGUGCAAUACUCGCGCUUAACGCGGGAGCUGCUUUUGAUACUGCUGUUCUUGAGUGCAGAAAAGGGAAGUAGAAUUCUCGGUGUAGCGGUGAAAUGCGUAGAUAUCGAGAAGAAUACCAGUAGCGAAGGCGGCUUCCUGGUCUGUAACUGACGCUGAGGCACGAAAGUGUGGGUAGCAAACAGGAUUAGAAACCCCCGUAGUCC
Molecule: ribosomal RNA, 292 nt
Filed under: uncultured bacterium
Lineage: Bacteria
Description: partial 16S ribosomal RNA
Rfam family: Bacterial small subunit ribosomal RNA
Source: RNAcentral